UAUGUGGCCUUUGUAACUGAUGUCUUCUAUGCGUUUUGUCUGUGCAGACCUGUGAUGGGAAAAAAAAUAUUUGUAUGUUAAAUUGGAAUAUGAAAGUUGGAAAGAUAUAGAAAAAGAAAGUGGAAAGAAGUUAACUAAUAAAAGAAAUUGAUGCAUUUGUGGUUUCAACACACGGUUUUAAUUUUUGAGUGGCCUAAUUCAGAUCACAAGAGCUUGUCCACACUCCAAUGUACAUUUCUUGAAUAUUAUAUUAUUGAUCUGGGAAACUCAGAAAAUUUAAUCAGGACGCUGGACUUUAAAAAGGUCCCAAAUCUUUAGGAGUUGAUUCUUGAAGGAUGUAGAAGACUGCAAGAAGUUCAUCAGUCUAUUGGAGUUCUGAAAAGGCUUUCCCAGAGCCCGAAGAACUGUCAAACCCUUGUAGCUCUUCCAAGCAGCAUGUGUAAUUGAAGUCCCUUAAGAUUCUUAUUUUGCAUGGCUGCUCAAAACUUGAGAAACUGCCUAGGAGGCUAGGCGAUAUAACAUGUUUGGAAGAGUUUGAUGCAUCUGAAAUUGGUACAAGAAAAACCAUUAGGAUUUUCUUCUACCUUGAUGGCUGUUGCCAUGGAAAAAGAACAUCUCAUUGCUUUUGCCUUAUCUUCUGUGAUGGCUUUACCCUUUUUGAAAGAACUUAAUCUAAGUUACUGUAAUCUACCAGAAGGAGCAAUUCCCAGCAACCUUAGUGGCUUCCCCUCAUUGAAACAUCUAAAACUAAGUGGAAAUGAUUUUGUAAGCUUACCUUUAAGCAUCUGUCACAUUUCUCAACUUCAGUGUCUUGAACUAUCUAAUUGGAAGAGGCUUCAGUCAUUGCCAGAUCUUCCAUCAAAUAUUCUAGGUCCGUUUUUGAGAAAUUGCACUUCUCUGGAAAAUCUUCCAAAUGUGUGUGAAAAGCACAACAUGAAGAGUUUUUUACUAGAGUUUCCAAAUUGCUCCAAAUUGAAUGAUCAUCAAGGGAAAAUCAGUACGGCAUUUACAUGGCUGAAAAGUUACCUGCUUUCUUUUCUGAAAGUUUGGCUGCUAAUACAAUAUGAUAAAUUUGCACAAGCCAGGACAGUUUGAAAAAAGUUGUCAUAAGGUUUCUCUUUCCCUCUGUAUUCCUUUCCUUUAUAUCUUUGUUAAAUUUCCGUAUACUAAAACUUUAUCGGUAAUAACUUUGGUGCAGAAAGGCAUUAAUUUAUGAGACAUUUGUGUGUUACUCCCUGACUUCAUAUUGCACUUACCUGGAAAUGAAAUUCCUAAAUGGUUCAACUAUAAGAGUGUCAAGAGUCCAUUGAGAAUACGCCUACUUCAAUGUGAAAAGUGAUGGAACAUUGCAGGUUUUUUGGUUUGUGUUUUCAUUUCGGGAGACGUAUUUUGUAUUGAAACAGUUUGCGAUUUUACAUAGUGAAAACAGGAAGGUCUUGAGCAGCUCCUAUCAAGUCAAAGUCCUUGGAAAUACAUUUCUUUCAUUGGACCAUCUUUGCCUCUUCUUUGUUACCAAUGGCAGAAUAUAUCCUUAUGAGGAAUGUAGUCCAAUUGAAGUGCUGCUAACUUUUGAUGAAGCUGAAAUCAAUGUGUGGGAUGCACACUGUACAUGAGAAACCAAUAGAGGAGUUAAUCCAAUUCAACAAACCUUUAGAAAAUUUGGGUCUCUGUCAGUAUGUUGAUGAAAAUAUUCCAAGCCAUGAAGGCAGUUCUGACAGUGGAGAACAAGAAAACAUGGACGAGGUUAACCUAGGAGAGGAAGAUAGUGUGGAGGAAGAGAGAGGAAUUUUAACAACACUUGAUUACAGUACAAACUCAGCUGCAAUAUAAUAUCCUACUUUGUUACAUAAAAACUUAUGAUCUAUAUAGGGUUGAUUUAAUGUUCUCUGUUAUCCCAUUAUUUAGUAAUUAUAUGAUUCAUAACUUCAAU
RNAcentral lists this unclassified non-coding RNA (1930 nucleotides) under Hevea brasiliensis (rubber tree). Lineage: Eukaryota; Viridiplantae; Streptophyta; Magnoliopsida; Malpighiales; Euphorbiaceae. The record is from RNAcentral.